UACGGAGGGGGCUAGCGUUGUUCGGAAUUACUGGGCGUAAAGCGCACGUAGGUGGCUUUGCAAGUCAGAGGUGAAAGCCCGGGGCUCAACCCCGGAAUUGCCUUUGAGACUGCAUCGCUAGAAUUGUGGAGAGGUAAGUGGAAUUCCGAGUGUAGAGGUGAAAUUCGUAGAUAUUCGGAAGAACACCAGUGGCGAAGGCGGCUCACUGGCCCGAUUCUGACGCUGAGGCGCGAAAGCGUGGGGAGCAAACAGG
This 253-nucleotide ribosomal RNA is filed under the name uncultured bacterium. Its description in RNAcentral is "partial 16S ribosomal RNA". It matches the Rfam family "Bacterial small subunit ribosomal RNA", at positions 524 to 776 of the family's 1533-position model. The record is from RNAcentral.